UUAAGUGGAAUGAAUGAACU
Molecule: unclassified non-coding RNA, 20 nt
Filed under: Chlamydomonas reinhardtii
Lineage: Eukaryota; Viridiplantae; Chlorophyta; Chlorophyceae; Chlamydomonadales; Chlamydomonadaceae
Description: small RNA Cre_3721
Source: RNAcentral